This 497-nucleotide ribosomal RNA is filed under the name uncultured bacterium. Its description in RNAcentral is "partial 16S ribosomal RNA". It matches the Rfam family "Bacterial small subunit ribosomal RNA", at positions 28 to 507 of the family's 1533-position model. The record is from RNAcentral.
GAUGAACGCUGGCGGCGUGCCUAAUACAUGCAAGUCGAGCGAACGGACGAGAAGCUUGCUGUGCUGAUGUUAGCGGCGGACGGGUGAGUAACACGUGGAUAACCUACCUAUAAGACUGGGAUAACUACGGGAAACCGGAGCUAAUACCGGAUAAGAUUUUGAACCGCAUGGUUCAAAAGUGAAAGACGGUCUUGCUGUCACUGAUAGAUGGAUCCGCGCUGCAGUAGCUAGUUGGUAAGGUAACGGCUUACCAAGGCAACGAUGCAUAGCCGACCUGAGAGGCUGCUCGGCCACACUGGAACUGAGACACGGUCCAGCCUCCUACGGGCGGCAGCAGUAGCGAAUCCUCCGGCAUGGGCGAAAGCCUGACGGAGCAACGCCGCGUGAGUGAUGGAGGUCUUCGGAUCGUACAGCUCUCUUAUUAGGGAAGAACAUAUGUGUAAGUAACUGUGCACAUCUUGACGGUACCUAAUCAGAAAGCCCCGGCUCCCUACGUG